UAAAAGUGUUGUUAUUUAGGCCUGGGAUAGAGAUGAGACGAGGUUUGUGGCAAGACGGAGUGCUCGACACCAAUUGUCUUAUUCCCGCACAUUGGAAUUGGACAUACCAGUUUCAAGUUAAAGAUCAAAUCGGUAGCUAUUAUUAUGUCCCGUCUAUCAAUUUUCAAUGGGCUGCAGGUGGUUUUCGUGGGUUUAUAAUCACAAACCGUAAGGUUAUCAUGCUUCCGUUUAAUACCCCUGAUGGCGAUAUUGUCAUUACCCAUUGGCGAUUGGUAUACUCGUGAUCAUAAGGUUGAAAUACAUAUGUACGUGAGCGUGUCUACAUAGAGUCACAAAUCAGACAGACAAUACAUUUGGCAAGCAUCAGCUCAUACGUAAUUAAAGAAGAAACUGACCCCGAAAAGCAGCUUUGCCGUGGGACAGAAAUAACACUUUACUUGAAGCCUAUCAGUGCCAAAGCUCAAGCCCAAAGGAAGGUUGCUAGAGAGACAAAGACUAAUGUCAUUUACAUCAAUGGGAACCCAACAUUUUGUUUACGGCAGAACAAUGCAGGAUAUUUUCAAAGAUUACGAGUAUGAAGUUUAUGAUUACAACUUUGUUGAUGACGUGUCUGCAGCCUUAUAAUCAUGUAAGUUUUUUGUGGUCCAAAUGAAAUAAACCAAAAGAAACAUUAAAUAUUUUUGUGUUCAUAUAGCCAUAUCUCAAACAGCAGCAACCAGUUUCUUUUUAGGCUCACGAAGGACAUUUAGAAGAUUUUGGUGGAAGGGUUAUGCAAAUGGGAUGGUGCACUAUCAAAGUUAACAAAAAUUAAAUCAAAAUAAACCAGUUUUUAGAACAUGUUGAAUUGCCAUGUAAAUAUAUUGAUUUACAGCUAAGAAUGAAUAUUGAUAAAUUAAAGAAUUCAUGGUUUUGCUA
Molecule: long non-coding RNA, 915 nt
Organism: Helianthus annuus (common sunflower)
Lineage: Eukaryota; Viridiplantae; Streptophyta; Magnoliopsida; Asterales; Asteraceae
Exons: 3
Source: RefSeq, a predicted model, not a curated record